This 195-nucleotide unclassified non-coding RNA is filed under the name plant metagenome. Its description in RNAcentral is "partial contains small subunit ribosomal RNA, internal transcribed spacer 1, and 5.8S ribosomal RNA". The record is from RNAcentral.
UCUCCGUUGGUGAACCAGCGGAGGGAUCAUUACCGAGUUCACAACUCCCAAACCCCUGUGAACAUACCAUUUGUUGCCUCGGCGGUGCCUGCUUCGGCAGCCCGCCAGAGGACCCAAACCCUUGAUUUUAUACAGUAUCUUCUGAGUAAAUGAUUAAAUAAAUCAAAACUUUCAGCAACGGAUCUCUUGGUUCUG